AUUCUUGGUCAUUUAGAGGAAGUAAAAGUCGUAACAAGGUCUCCGUUGGUGAACCAGCGGAGGGAUCAUUGCUGGAACGCGCCCCAGGCGCACCCAGAAACCCUUUGUGAACUUAUACCUUACUGUUGCCUCGGCGCAUGCUGGCCCCCCCUGGGGGGGCCCCUCUGGAGACGGAGGAGCAGGCACGCCGGCGGCCAAGUUAACUCUUGUUUUUACACUGAAACUCUGAGGAAAAAAAAAAAAAAUGAAUCAAAACUUUCAACAACGGAUCUCUUGGUUCUGGCAUCGAUGAAGAACGCAGCGAAAUGCGAUAAGUAAUGUGAAUUGCAGAAUUCAGUGAAUCAUCGAAUCUUUGAACGCACAUUGCGCCCUCUGGUAUUCCGGAGGGCAUGCCUGUUCGAGCGUCAUUUCAACCCUCAAGCCUGGCUUGGUGAUGGGGCACUGCCUUCCCCGGAAGGCAGGCCCUGAAAUUCAGUGGCGAGCUCGCCAGGACCCCGAGCGCAGUAGUUAAACCCUCGCUCUGGAAGGCCCUGGCGGUGCCCUGCCGUUAAACCCCCAACUCUUUUGAAAAUUUGACCUCGGAUCAGGUAGGAAUACCCGCUGAACUUAAGCAUAUCAAUAAGCGGAGGAAAU
This 633-nucleotide ribosomal RNA is filed under the name Phomopsis sp. Fsh001. Its description in RNAcentral is "eukaryotic LSU rRNA". The stretch from base 254 to 407 matches the Rfam family "5.8S ribosomal RNA". Lineage: Eukaryota; Fungi; Ascomycota; Sordariomycetes; Diaporthales; Diaporthaceae. The record is from RNAcentral.